GCAUGGACUUCCUGGGACCUUACCCUGUGCUUCCCAGCUCUUGAGGUAGGCUGGGCCUGCAGCGCAUGGAGGUACACAACCUCAGUGUUCAGUCCACAGACAGCAGCACACAGAGGAUCAUCAUUUGUAAGACAAGGAAGUUCUGCACGUGGACCAAAACGUGCAUGUAGGAGAUGGGUGUCACGCCUCCUGCCCAGAGCCCAUCUCCCAGGUUCAGUCUCAAGUGUGAUAUCCCCUGGAGAAGAAGCAGCAGACCUGAAACCUCACCUGCCCACCGAGUUGCUUCUUGGCACUGGCAGUGUCCCUGCGUGGCCACAAGCUCUCUGUGGGAAGGGACCAUCUUUAUGGCAUCGGAAUGGAGAAAAGCUAAAGUGCAACCAUGGUGGCACUCCCAUUACCUUCCAGACAAACGCUGGCCCCCAGUUCUUAAGCUGUGGUCCAUGGUCUGCCUGGGUGACAGCUGGGUGCCUAUGUGUAGGAUGGGGAGAAGAUGAAGGGAAUUGGAGGCGCUUGCCCUGGAAGGUCCACCUUAAGGCUGCACAGACAGAGCCCACGCUGGUGUCUGACUGCUGUCUACUGAGAGAGGGGGGAGGGCUCGUGGUCAGAAAUCCCAGCCCAAGCCUCCUGGUCGCAUCUCCUUGGUUUCUCCUGCAAAGUGAUGGCUUGCGGGAGCAGGAAGGUGGGACAGUCCGCCCCCAACUCUGCUCCGGGUGCUGUGGGCACACCGAGAAGAAUCAGUGCCCUUCCUGAAGUUACGCAGGUGCACAGGGAGGCUGCUUCCCCCACAGGGACAGAAAGAAGACGCCCAUUUGUCUAGAGGAGAGGGGCCCCCUGGGGGCCAGGACCCUCCCCCCUUGAUAGAUUCCUGACAAGUCCUGGAAGUUCUGGGCUCUGAGAAGUUCCGAGAAGGUCAUGACGUUUUCCAUCUGCAGAAUGGGUACACGGUCCCUCUGCCUCCUCCCAGUGCACCUCGGGAAAUGUGGGCCCCAAAGCAGCACACUGCUGGGACAGCCUUACUGGAACGUCCGGCAGUGGCGUGUGGCUGGGGCAUUUUUGCUCCGGAGACAUCCUGAAUUCCUUAGGUCAACACAUGAAGAGGGAAAGAGCCCACAUUUUCCAGAUUCUUCUCACAACCCUCAAAGCAUGACUGUCGUAGGGGAAGCCGAGCAUUCCGAUUUGGGAAGGGAGGGCAGGAACCAAGAUUGAUGGAAGUGAGUCAUCCUCACUCCCCCUUCCAAGGCUCCUGCAGGCAUUCAUUCCACACAGAUGAGCGGGCACCUUUGUGGGCCAGGUGCUGCAGAUAAAAAUACCCCAUCGUUUGGCAAGCGAGAAAUUGGAGACCCAGAGUCCCCAAGGUAACAGGGCAAGUACCCAGCGGAGGUUUUAACCUAGGCAGUCUGACGGCUCAAGAGGCCGGAGGAUGCAGCCAUUGUAGAACCAUCAGCAGUGAUUAAGAUACGGUCCCUGUUCCCCAGGGGAUGCCAAUCAAGUGAGGAGGGCAGGUGAGGCACUCGCUGAUCACGUGAAGACCGAUUGGCUGCAGAGGCAAGCAACGUAAAGGAGCGGUGCAGGUGCAACCAGGGUGGGGGAGGCCCCCCGAGCAGCCAAGGUUUGAGAGACCAGGAAGAACCUCCCCGGGAAGGUCGGGGCGGAAGUGUGCGUCCUCACGAGAGGGAACAGCAGAUGCGAAGUCUCGCGGGCGGGGAUGCCUGGGGUCCGGCAGCUCCUAGAAAGACGGGUGCUCAUCCUAUGAUUCCUGUGAUCUGCGCUGUGCCAUGGAGGGGAGCGGCUGCCGGGACUGCUGCUCUGAGGCUGCUUCACACACGAAGGAGAAAAGGAAUGAAAAGGCAACCAACCGGCCCCCAGAACAGGCUCAGGCUCGCCAGAUUCUGCUUGGACCACCUUGGGAAGCUCAAGGGCACGCGGUCAAGGAAACACCGAGAUGACUGGGGAUGUGCAGACACUUGGACCUUUUUUGGCUUCUAGAACCUUCACUGUCCUCAGCCAGUUCACUCCUUCUUCUCGAGGCGGAUCAGCGAAUUCCCAAGAGAUUCCGGCUGCUCCUCACGGCUUGGGCACUGGCAAGGCUGGGGAUCCAGGCUGUCUUGGUGCCUCAAAACCAAGCAGGGGGGAGCAUCCCACGACUCCCUUCCACUCGCUGCAUGCAGCAGCCGUGGGUAGAGGUGCCAGAGAAGGGCUGGGAAACAAAGGCGGCUUUCACCUGGGACCGGCGAAGAUUGGACCGUGCGGCGCGGCCCCGAGCCCGGAGCAGGCUGCCGUCCUGUGACUCGGAGCUCAAAAAUGUGUGAAAUUUCUUUUUGCUGGGUAUUCUACAUCAAGCGGAACCUGUUCUCAGAGAAACAUUCCAUUUCACAGACCCUAAUGGCUUUCCUCUGUGCCGGUGCAUUAAUGAGGCUCCGGCUCGUUCUAAUCAGAAGGAAGCCAUGCAGAUAAUUGCCUGAAUUUUUAAUUCAGGGUUAUGAUAGGGGAAUGAAAGUCACACUGCUGUUGCUGAGGCCGCCUCCAGUUCCAGCCCAUUGACUUUUGCAAUUUUCUUUGAUUUCCCCCUCUUCUGCUCUUUCUCCCCACUCCCACUUUCUCUCUCUCUCUCUCUCUCUCUCUCCUCUCUCUCUCUCUCUCUCUGGCUUGGUGGGGACUGACAGUUUCGGGUUGGGGCGGAGUGGAGGAAGGGGGCAGCCCUUGGGGUCUCCUACACAGUCUGUCUUCCUUUUUUUUUUUUUUUUCCCUCGCCUUUCCCAUCCCCCUCGCCGGGAGCAAGUGGAUCCUGCUGCACCUGUCACCCCGGGGCUGGUUCUGGGAGAGUGCCCUGCCCUGCCCUCCCCUCCCAGGGUCUCCGUGCCCAUAAGCAAGACAGGAAAUUUGCCUCAGGAGAGGAUCUCCUUUGGCAAUUGACUUCCCAUUUCAUCUCAGCUUUUAGGACAGGGGAGAGAAAUGAGAAGGCAGAGUGGAAAGAAACGGGGCGGCCCGAGCAGCUUAGAGCCCCGGUUCCUUGCAAAGGCAGUUUGCUCAGCCAUGCAGGAAGCUGGAGGAACCUAAGAUUGGGGUCCUCCUUGGAUUCUUUAACUCCUGCUGUAACAAUCGCGGGGUGCCAAAACUUCCAAGCACUGACCAGAUCUGAAAACUACAGGUGAUAGAAUGAGAAUGCCACCUGCAUUCACUGCCACCGGCCUGCAGUGAGAAAGGAGCCCGAGGUCACUAGCAAAGGGUGCACUCAGCUUCCCCUGGAUCUGGGACCUUGGGGCCAGACAGAAUUUGCCAGGGGGAGAGGCAACCCUUGAGUCCAGCUCCAAGCACACAAGCUGGCCUUGUGAGAACAACUGUGGCUGCAAGAGGAGCUCCUUCUCCCAGCACUAGCACGAGUGUCCCCGUGAGCGCAUGUUCCUGCCUUCAGACGGGACUCAGCACAGGGACCCUUUCUCCUGCAGACUGAGCUCAGAAUUGUUGGGCACUGGCCAUGUGGCUUCAGAGACCAGAAUUGAGGUCCACGUCCCUGGCUCUUGGUAGGUUUGGGGUUCCCACUUGCAAGAAAAAGAUGUUUGCACUGUGCACAAGCACCCCCUGGGUACCAGAGGCUUUAUGUAGCAUCGUUAGGUUUAGUCCUGACGAGCACCUGGUGAAGGGAUGACUGUGCUGCAGAUCGGGAAGCUCGGGUUCACCAGAAAGAAGAAACCUUGCUCCCACUCCCACCCUGCCUGGCCGGGCAAGGUUUCAGUCGGGGAAGCCAGACUGGCUAUAAGGACCGCUGGCAUGGUCCUCCCAGCAGGCUGCAGCUCUCCCCGUACCAUGCUGGUGGUCUUUGCCCACCAUGGGGCUUCUGUUGCCUCAAUUCGCUGUCACCCCAGGCACCCCUCUGCUGGGAAGGCCACCUGCAGUCACCUGAACACUGAGGGAGGAGGGGGAAGGCGAGGCUCCCCCAAGAACUUCCCAUCUCCUCAGACCGGGGGCCUUGUCGAAGCUCUGUGAUGUUGUCUGACACUGCGGGUGUCUGCACAGGUGCUUGCGGCCCUCUGUUGAACUUUUUAAGCAAAAUCCACUUCCAUUUCUUUUAAUGGAAAAACACGAGGCCAGGCCCACCUUGUGGUGCAGCAGGCUAAGCCACUGCUUGCAAUGCCAGCAUCCUGUAUAGGAGUGCUGGUUUGAGUCCUGGCUGCUCCACUUCCGAUCCACCUUCCAGCUAAAGCACCUGCUAAGUUAGUGGAUGAUGGCCCAAGUACGCAGGUCCCUUGCCACCUGUGUGGGAGACCCAGAUGGAGUUCUGGGGUCCUGGGGUCCUGGCUUCUGCCUGGCCUAGCCCCAGCUGUUGUAGCCAUUUGGGCUGUGAUCCAGUGGAUGGAAGAUUGUCUCUGUGUCUGUGUAUGUGUGACUCUACCUUCCAAAGAAACAAAUCUUUUUUAGAAAUAAAGGUGUGUCUGGCUGGC
This is a long non-coding RNA of Oryctolagus cuniculus (rabbit), 4439 nucleotides long. RefSeq lists it as uncharacterized. The record is from RefSeq and is a predicted model, not a curated record. Lineage: Eukaryota; Metazoa; Chordata; Mammalia; Lagomorpha; Leporidae.